This 351-nucleotide ribosomal RNA is filed under the name uncultured organism. Its description in RNAcentral is "bacterial LSU rRNA". It matches the Rfam family "Bacterial large subunit ribosomal RNA", at positions 2099 to 2465 of the family's 2925-position model. The record is from RNAcentral.
CUUUACUAUAACUUGGCACUGAAAGUAUAUUUGUAAGUGUGUAGGGUAGGAGGGAGCCGCAAGGCAACGAUGAAACACCUCUCUUUACUUAUGUACAAUCUAACGCCCACGCUGAAUAAAAAUCCAGCGGGCGGACACUGUCUGGCGGGUAGUUUAACUGGGGAGGUUUUCUCCAAAAUCGUAACGGAGAAGUGCAAAGGUUGACUCAGUACGGAUGGAAAUCGUACGUAGAGCGCAAGCGUAAAAUAGUCAGCUUAACUGUGAGACUUACAAGUCGAGCAGAUACGAAAGUAGGCGCUAGUGAUCUUCUGCUAGGUCGUGGGACCGGCAGGGCUUAUCGGAUAAAAGCUA